This 253-nucleotide ribosomal RNA is filed under the name uncultured bacterium. RNAcentral describes it as "partial 16S ribosomal RNA". It matches the Rfam family "Bacterial small subunit ribosomal RNA", at positions 524 to 776 of the family's 1533-position model. The record is from RNAcentral.
UACGGAGGGAGCUAGCGUUGUUCGGAAUUACUGGGCGUAAAGCGCACGUAGGCGGCUACUCAGGUCAGAGGUGAAAGCCCGGGGCUCAACCCCGGAACUGCCUUUGAAACUAGGUAGCUAGAAUCCUGGAGAGGUCAGUGGAAUUCCGAGUGUAGAGGUGAAAUUCGUAGAUAUUCGGAAGAACACCAGUGGCGAAGGCGACUGACUGGACAGGUAUUGACGCUGAGGUGCGAAAGCGUGGGGAGCAAACAGG